UAAAAUAUAGAUGGCUCUAAAGCUCUAUUUAGUUACAUGCGUUAGGUUAACUGAUCUUUUUCUUUUGUUUUUAGUUUUUUAUUUUGGUCACAUGGAUGAUGAAUUUUAAUAGAUUCAAAGAGCACUAAGAGCGUUUUUAUAAUCAGGUUUCAAAUUCUUUUGAUGCUAAAUUUUUUAAAAAUACACACAUAUAUAUAGAGUGCUAUGUUUUGUUUAUGCGCUUGUUCUUUUGUGUGCCUGUGAGUUGUGUGUUGGUGGCCUUGGCGGCAGAAAAGGAGGGUUGAUUGAGCAGAUUGGUGUAUUGGAUACGUAAAACCCGGGAGAGGAGGAUACGUUGCUUUCCAUCACAAACCAACUUGUUGAAUUCGCAUUGCCUUGGGAUACAGUUGUCUAGCCCCAACAAGGACCUGCAGGUAAUUCCGCUCAGCUAUGAGCGUGGUGCACAAGCACUUGGCCCUCAAGAACUGUCUCCUUCAUUGCCCAUUUGGGGAGUUGAGUGGCAGUAAAACCCUGCACUGCACAACAACACAAACACAGAGAGGAGUUGGUGUAGAUGAGUAAAAGAGCACAGCAAGAAAUAAAUACACCACUGCCCACAGUCUGGAUUAUCUUUCUUCUAGCUUCCUUUUUUUUCCCUCUGCUUCACCAAAUAGCAAUACCAUCCUACUCUUCUUUUCUCCUUCGCCUUCUUCACCGCUCACACACCACAGAAAAAGAGAAGAUGGAAGCUGUAGUUGCAGAUGAAGAAGAAGAAGAAGAAGAGGAAGAUACAGAGCAACUGACAGCUUGAGUUUUCAGUCUCAACCUGUAGAGUUAAAUCGCAAUAAAUGGUCAAGAGGUGUGGAAUGUGUAAACCCUAAGAGAGUCUUCUUAGUUGCAGGUAGAAGACAAAGCUCUUCUUUGCUGCCUGGAAAUUAAGAGUAAAAAACUAUACAAAUCUUUUGUAUGAUCAUUUGUUCAAUCAUACUGCUGCAUUUGGAGGUGUAAUAAUUUGAGCAAGUGUUUUCCCCCCUUGCUUCAUGAUCAACGACUAUUAAAAUAGAGAUAAAAACGACUAUUUUCUCAGAUGCAAAA
This is a long non-coding RNA of Zingiber officinale, 1074 nucleotides long. RefSeq lists it as uncharacterized. The transcript has 2 exons. The record is from RefSeq and is a predicted model, not a curated record. Lineage: Eukaryota; Viridiplantae; Streptophyta; Magnoliopsida; Zingiberales; Zingiberaceae.